CAGCAGCCGCGGGAAUACGUAGGGUGCAAGCGUUAAUCGGAAUUACUGGGCGUAAAGCGUGCGCAGGCGGUUAUAUAAGACAGAUGUGAAAUCCCCGGGCUCAACCUGGGAACUGCAUUUGUGACUGUAUAGCUAGAGUACGGCAGAGGGGGAUGGAAUUCCGCGUGUAGCAGUGAAAUGCGUAGAUAUGCGGAGGAACACCGAUGGCGAAGGCAAUCCCCUGGGACUGUACUGACGCUCAUGCACGAAAGCGUGGGGAGCAAACAGGAUUAGAUACCCGUGUAGUCCCUGUCUCUUAUAC
This 301-nucleotide ribosomal RNA is filed under the name uncultured bacterium. Its description in RNAcentral is "partial 16S ribosomal RNA". It matches the Rfam family "Bacterial small subunit ribosomal RNA", at positions 509 to 807 of the family's 1533-position model. The record is from RNAcentral.